This 429-nucleotide ribosomal RNA is filed under the name bacterium. RNAcentral's name for it is "partial 16S ribosomal RNA". It matches the Rfam family "Bacterial small subunit ribosomal RNA", at positions 355 to 776 of the family's 1533-position model. RNAcentral also lists the same sequence under 2 other names. The record is from RNAcentral.
UCGGGAAUUUUGCACAAUGGCCGAAAGGCUGAUGCAGCAACGCCGCGUGAGCGAAGAAGGCCUUCGGGUUGUAAAGCUCUGUUGCCUGCGAAGAAGGGCCCUGUCAGGAAAUGGGCGGGGUUUGACGGUAGCAGGCGAGGAAGCCCCGGCAAACUACGUGCCAGCAGCCGCGGUAAUACGUAGGGGGCGAGCGUUGUCCGGAAUUACUGGGCGUAAAGGGCGUGUAGGCGGCCUGUUAAGUCAGGGGUGAAAGACCGGGGCUCAACCCCGGGGGUGCCUCUGAAACUGGCGGGCUUGAGUGCUCUAGAGGGCAGUGGAAUUCCCGGUGUAGCAGUGAAAUGCGUAGAGAUCGGGAGGAACACCAGUGGCGAAGGCGGCUGCCUGGGGAGUCACUGACGCUGAGGCGCGAAAGCUAGGGGAGCAAACAGG